This 1152-nucleotide long non-coding RNA is filed under the name Olea europaea subsp. europaea. The record is from RNAcentral. Lineage: Eukaryota; Viridiplantae; Streptophyta; Magnoliopsida; Lamiales; Oleaceae.
CUUUUGGAGCAUCAAUCAUGUCUAUAUCUUCCUCUUUUGUUCAAGGUGUGGACCUUCUACAAGCGCAUCGAUCAUUUCAGCAUCUGUUACCAUGUUGACACUAUGGGGCUCCGUUUUUCUUAGAGAGUUAAGGUAGCAUUCCAUAGACCCAAUUUGGUCGCCUUUCACAGUUGCAAUCCCAUACGCAGUUGGAAAUGUAAUACAUAGGUAGUGUACCGAGCUAACCAUCCAUAACUCUUCAAGCAGAUCUUCCUAGGACACCAUGGUAAGUUGAUCUAUUAGCCACAACUAGUAAUUCCAUAAAGUUGCGUACUACUUGGAGAGGUGACCCCAUCUUUAUCGCGAAGGUGAUCUUCCUCCUUGUGAUGAUGCUAUCUCUUAGAAACCCAUCUAGUAGGAAAGUCAUGAGAGUCAGUUCAUGAUCUACCAACAUUUUAUCGAACACAGAUCUAAGCAUUAUAUUGAUCGAACUCCCAUGGUCAACCAACAAGCGCUUUAACCAUUGUGAGCUAUAAUUACCCUUACUACUGAGGCAUCACAAUGAGGAUAAUGCAUACCUACGCAUCUUCCUAUGUAAAGGUAAUAAGUAGCAUAUUAUCGAGCCCUUGAGGGUGGUCGUAGAUGAAGUAAAUAUCCCUGGGGAUCAUUGGCCUUUCAUGCAUCAUUCAUCUAGGUGUUUCAAUCUCGUCUCAAACAUGUGAAGCCCCAAUGAUCGUAUCUAUCUCCCAAAUAGUUGUAUUGUCCAUAGCGGAAGACUCUCUGCUUUGUCUUUAUCCACCUCUAGGCCUCUCUCUAUCAUCCCCUUUUUAGAAGGGAACGAUCUUUUGGAGGUCUCAUGGUGUCCUCCUACCUAAGCUGUUGUUUCCUCAAGUGGCUGAACCCCUCUCUCUUCACAUUCUCAUUUAUUUUCAUCAUGUUAUAAUGACAAUUUCUCUAGCUUUCUAAAGUACAAGAAAUUUAUAAACUAGUUGAUGAAAAAUGUGGUACUACAACAACAAUCCACUUUCUUUGAGUGCUAAUAUACUUUUCAAGAAUUAAAUGUUCAUUUUGUUGUUCAAAUCAAUGUAAAACAAGAAAUUCGAGCUUAUGUUUUGAUUUAAUUUCAAAUUUAUCCAUAAGUGCAAUCAAGAAUGAAUUUUUGCUCAAUUUUUU